GACAGUCUGGCCGAGCGGUUAAGGCGUUACACUCGAAUUAUGUAAUGGGUUUACCCGCACAGGUUCGAAUCCUGUGGCUGUCG
Molecule: transfer RNA, 83 nt
Filed under: Hanseniaspora uvarum DSM 2768
Lineage: Eukaryota; Fungi; Ascomycota; Saccharomycetes; Saccharomycodales; Saccharomycodaceae
Description: tRNA-Ser
Rfam family: tRNA
About the family: Transfer RNA (tRNA) molecules are approximately 80 nucleotides in length. Their secondary structure includes four short double-helical elements and three loops (D, anti-codon, and T loops).
Source: RNAcentral